This is a long non-coding RNA of Octodon degus (degu), 1098 nucleotides long. RefSeq lists it as uncharacterized. The transcript has 6 exons. NCBI's taxonomy places the organism in Eukaryota, Metazoa, Chordata, Mammalia, Rodentia, Octodontidae. The record is from RefSeq and is a predicted model, not a curated record.
CGUACUUACACACAUCCAUGCUGCUUUGAAAACAAAUGCCCUAAAGAGAAAUGAAAGCAGAAACACAUUCUGAUUUGUUUGAAGAGGCUUCGGAUGACAAAGCAUAUCACAGGUUUUGACCUUUAAGAGAGAGCCAAUUCUGGAAAACAACCAGAGUUCUUUGAUUGAAUUCUCACGUGCAUUGAAACAUGAUUAGAAGAUUAAGGUUUCAUGAUAAAAUGAAGACCAUAAUAAAAAAUCUUCUUACUUAGACUGGCAGUGCUUAUUUUGUAUAAAUUUUGACUCCAUGGCUGCGUACACCACAAUCAUGACCAACAACAAAAAAUAAAACAGUGAAGACUAACAACCAGAUAUUUAGACCAUAUGACGAAAGGACUAAGAGUGGAAGCAAAACUUGACACUGAAUAGAGCAAAGUACCUUACAGCAACUCACUUAGUAAAGGGAAGUAUGUGCCACGUGAGAUGAUCUCCUCAGCACAAAACUUUGUAUCUGACUUGCAUGCCUGGUCUGCUGAUUUAUCUAUUUUCAUGAUUGCUAAAUUAUGGAGGAAUGAACCUGAGGAGCUUGGCCUUGCCAGAAAGAUGCUAUGCUGCUGAGCUAUAUCCCUGGCCUGAAUUGUUUGUUUGUUGGUUUGUUUAAAACACCAAGUUUGAUGCCAUGUUGUUCUCCCCUGUGGAUUAUUAGGCUCCAGGGAGGUAAUGAAAUUUCCUAAACUUCUUUGGCAAAAUUUCCUUAGUAGCUGCUAAAUUUGCUGCUACAGGCAACUUCCUCUAUAUGUAGGAAGUUUAAAAUAUUCUUAGCAAAUCUGUAUUACUCUAAUAUAGUCUUUGGUGAUUUAUAUCUCUCGUGAUUGAUGUGACUAUUUCUAUUAUUUUAGAGAACCAGUAUUAAGUCUUCUAAAGCAAAAGUGAAGUUUAAUUUAUUAUAUAUAAAUCAUAUGCAAGGAAAGUCAGAAACAGAUUAUGUUUCCUGAACCAGUGGUGGCCAACCUAUGGUAAGCAUGCCACAGCCAGCUGUUUAUUAUCAUUGAAAGUUCUAAAAGGUUCACCAUUACUGUUCUAAACCAUUUAUCUCUCAAGCUGAUUUUCCUCAACUGU